This 726-nucleotide ribosomal RNA is filed under the name uncultured bacterium. Its description in RNAcentral is "bacterial SSU rRNA". It matches the Rfam family "Bacterial small subunit ribosomal RNA", at positions 617 to 1315 of the family's 1533-position model. The record is from RNAcentral.
AGGCCUGCCUUGGAACUGGAUGACCUGCAGGCAGGCAGAGGGGGAGUGGAUUCCCAUGCGUAGGCGGUUGAAUGCGUAGAUAAUUCGGAGGAUCACCCAGUGGGGAAGGGCGGGCUCUUUUGACUGUUUCUGACCGUGAAGGCGGCGAAAGCAGUGGGGAGCAAACAGGAUUAGAUUACCCCCGGUAGUCACGCCGUAACGAUGGGUGUUAGGUGUAGGAGGUAUCGACCCCCUUCUGUGCCGUAGUUAACACCACUAAGCACCCCCGCCUGGGGAGUACGGCCGCAAAGAUUGUAACUCAUACGGAAUUGAUCGGGGGCCCCGCACAAGCAGGUGGAGCAUGUGGUUUAAUUUCGACGCAACGACGAAGAACCCUCCUCAGCGCGUGGACAUCCUCUGACCGCAUAUGAAAGUAUGUUUUCUGGCUUCGGUCAGACAGAGAGACAGGUGGUGCAUGGUUGUCGUCAGCUCGUGUCGUGAGAUGUUGGGUUAAGUCCCGCAACGAGCGCAACCCCUACGUUUAGUUGCUAACGUGUAACGAUGAGCACUCUAGGCGGACUGCCGUUGACAAAACGGAGGAAGGUGGGGAUGACGUCAAAUCAUCAUGCCCCUUAUGUUCUGGGCUACACACGUGCUACAAUGGCCGGUACAAAGGGACGCAAAGCCGCGAGGUGGAGCAAAUCCGAUAAAAGCCGGUCUCAGUUCGGAUUGCAGGCUGCAAUUCGC